RNAcentral lists this ribosomal RNA (484 nucleotides) under uncultured bacterium. Its description in RNAcentral is "partial 16S ribosomal RNA". It matches the Rfam family "Bacterial small subunit ribosomal RNA", at positions 30 to 507 of the family's 1533-position model. The record is from RNAcentral.
AUUGAACGCUGGCGGCAUGCCUUACACAUGCAAGUCGAACGGCAGCGCGGGAGCAAUCCUGGCGGCGAGUGGCGAACGGGUGAGUAAUACAUCGGAACGUGCCCAAUCGUGGGGGAUAACGCAGCGAAAGCUGUGCUAAUACCGCAUACGAUCUACGGAUGAAAGCAGGGGAUCGCAAGACCUUGCGCGAAUGGAGCGGCCGAUGGCAGAUUAGGUAGUUGGUGAGGUAAAGGCUCACCAAGCCUUCGAUCUGUAGCUGGUCUGAGAGGACGACCAGCCACACUGGGACUGAGACACGGCCCAGACUCCUACGGGAGGCAGCAGUGGGGAAUUUUGGACAAUGGGCGAAAGCCUGAUCCAGCCAUGCCGCGUGCAGGAUGAAGGCCUUCGGGUUGUAAACUGCUUUUGUACGGAACGAAACGCUCUUUUCUAAUAAAGAAGGCUAAUGACGGUACCGUAAGAAUAAGCACCGGCUAACUACGUG